GAGGUUUCACAGUUUGUCAUUUUAGUAUUCUUUAGUUUAAAGUGUAUCAAUUUAGUGCAAUGUGGUUUCAUUUUUAUUUUUUUAUUAUCGAUUUAACUAAAUUUUUUUGUUAAAUCAAUGACAAAGUAAAAACUAAAGGGUAUUAAAGUGAAUAUUCGAUAAACCUAAGUGGAGUAUCUGAAGUUUUUUUGUAUAUAAUUUAACAAAAUAUUAAUAAAAAAACUGACAAAAAGAUAAAAAUGGAACCACAAGACAAUAACUCGAUACACUUUAAACCACAUAGCAUUAAAAUGAGAAAGUGUGAAACCACAUGGGUAGUAUCUGAAGUUUACCCUAAUAAAAAACAGUUUUUGUAAAGAAC
This 361-nucleotide long non-coding RNA is filed under the name Ananas comosus (pineapple). RNAcentral's name for it is "long non-coding RNA (ACOM_LNC022623)". The record is from RNAcentral. Lineage: Eukaryota; Viridiplantae; Streptophyta; Magnoliopsida; Poales; Bromeliaceae.